AAUCCUUGCGAGAAACGGUGCCGGGCGCGCACGGGGAAAGGGGGGAGAGAUCCCCGCGAACAAAGAGCCACCAAAGCCCUCGGAGCCCCUCGGCCGGGCAGGAGGGCUGCUUUCGGGUGCCGGGUGCUUCGAGCUCAUCAACUGGAGCUCAGCAUGAUCAGAAGACGGUUUCAGCUCUGCACACUGCUUUGCACAGACCCAACUGGCUGUGCAGUGUGCAAGCGAGGACCCAAGAUCUGAAGAGACUGUUUAGACUACAAUAAUAAUAUCUGUUUUCUAUGGUGGAGGAUGAGACAUUUCUCACAGAAAUCCGCUCAUUUUAUUUUCACCAGAAAUGUUUGCUUGCUUGUUUGUUUCCCAUCCACAGGAAAUAAAGAGAAAAAAACCACGUUGCUUUUCCUGGAUUAAGCUUUGAUUUGAGAUAAGGCUUUACGAGAUCUUGCUAUUUCCAUUUUUAAUCACCCUUGGCGAACUCAUUGGUUGUAAAUCUGAAACGACCUGAGAUCGCGUAAACACCACCAGCCCAAGCCUGCAGACCCAAGCCAUCAUUAUUGCCCUCGCUCUGCUCCCUUGCAGGGGAAAGCACGGGAGCAGGAGGCUGGGCUCUCCCUGCCUGAGGAACAACCGCAGCUUGAUGCUUAAUUGGGAAGGAACCCAAGCAGCUGCUCCACCCCAGGUGCCGCACCCCAGGGUGGGACGAGGUUCCCCUGGGACCCCCGCCCGGUGCCUGCCGAGCCCGGUUCUGCCCUGGUCCUGCUGGCAGCAGCAGGUAAGGGCAGGGUGCAGCCCCAGCAUCCUCCUGGGUGAAGCCCUGCAGCCCCCUGGCCUGAACUGGGAGGGAGGAGGGAACAGGGGCCAGCAAAAGAGGCAUCGCUCCUGAAGCACAGCGCAGACCUGGGACUGGGGUCUCCUCUGUGGGGCAAGUGGACACACGGAGCUGCCUUCAAAAGGAGUCACCACAAGGCCUCAGCCUGGCUCUCCUCCACCUGUGUCUCCACAAAGGUUAUGCCUGAGAAGAUCCAUGAGGCCAGCUCUCCACGUGGAAACCGUGAAUGGGACCAUGGCUGGAAGUAGUGUCCUCCCAGCUCCCCAAGGGCUGUGGGGCAGGGGACCAGUGUGCUUCCAGCAGCAGCGGGGUUGUCUCCUUCAGAGCUUGUUGGGAGGGCUCGUGCCCACAUUGUGAGGGCCUGCUGACGUCUGUGUUCCCAUCCACUCAGCGCUGGGGUAGCUGUUUAUCCACCACCCUUCAUCAAUGAGGUUUAAGGGCAUACCUUAGAAAGGCAGCACAUGGUGCUUUCUGCAGCACUGAGAGUGAAGGGGAGAAACUUAAAGCCAAUGGGAAGGAUUUGCAUUAGCUCUGCUGCCAAGAAGUCUUUCCUAAACUCUCUCCUUCAAUAAUAUCUGGGUCAAAAUAAUACUGACUCUAUUAAAUCUUCAAUUUUCUUGCUUUUUGUGUAUCAACACUAGGACAAAGCAAUUACAGCCCCCAGAGACACACAUGAGUGAAGUGAGUGAGGCAGAGAUAUUAGCGUUGCUUUUGUCCUUCCCUGCCCUGUCCUCCGCCUUUGUUAAUCUGCAUGUGCAAAUUAAACUGAAAUUAAACUCUUAAUUUAUCAUCUUGUUGUGGUGACAGCAGGCAGGACCAGAAUGCUUUACAAACACGUAGCACCACAUUAACAUCAGAAACAGAUUCUUCCCUGAGAGAGGGGAAGAUUUCAAAGAAUGCGGAAAGAUACCACAGGGCUGUAAUCCCUCUUGCUGUACAGAAAACAACCGAUUGUUGUUGAAACCCUUGGGGGGGGGGGGGGGGGGGGGGCAGGGAUCUGCACAACACAUGUAGGCUACAGCUUUUCCACCAUCGAGAGUGGAGAUGGGAAAUUUGAAAUAAACAACCUUGGGGGUGGAAGGAAAAAAAAAAAACAACCCACACAAAAAAAAUACAUGGCAAAAGGGAAAAGAUACUGCAUGGUAAUAACUCAAUGUGACUGUCCACAGAAGUGAACUGCUCUGAGGACCAGCCCUCUGGAUGCAGACUAUCUCUGCUACAGCAGGCUGCAGGCUCUGCCCGUGUCCCCACGCUGUCUUCACCUGCCGCCACCCGUUGCUGUAGGGCACUGAGCUGCCCCUCUUCACCUCAUGGGGUGCUAGCAGAUAGCCCGAGAUCUGCCAGGGCCAUCUGUAUGGACGCCCUGCGGUCCUGAUUUAGCAAAGCACUUAAACACAUGCUUAAGGGAUUUGCUGAAUUGGAUGCUGCUCUCUCCACUGGCUCCCUCCACGUCUCCUGGCUCCCUGACCGCUUGGCUCCACCACUGCUUUCUUCACCCUUUAGGAUGCUUCCACUGUCCAAAGCUGGACCACUCUCCUUCUCCACAGUGCCAGAGGUGCCUCACAAGAAUUUAUCUUUGGUUUUGCUACCCAGAAGAAAAAGAAGACCCUGGCGGCACUGCGUGCUCAUAAAACAAAAGAGAAGAAAUAAAUUAUGAAAAAGAAACUUACGGAGACAGGGAUAGUUCAUUUGAUUCUUGCAAUGAGGAGGGGACAAAUUACUGCAGGGAGCAGUGACUGAGAGCAUGGAAAUGAUGAUCAACCACUCUGGGGCAUGUGCGGUCUCUCUCUGCUCCUUCAUCUCAUGGAAACAUGUUUCUAUGUGCAUGUAUUCAGCCACGGCCACACACAGACGGAGAGCUAAGUACCACCAGCCUAGGUGGGAGCUGGAAACUUGUGCAAGGAGGUGAAUCAGAGGCAGGCUACUUGUCCAGAAAUACUCUGUGCUGGAUCCCCAUCUCCAGCUGUGUCCUUUUGCCGUCAGACCAGCGGCUGCCUCCUCCUUCCUCCCCAGCCCAGCAGCACCAGCAGCAUGGCAGGGACACGGCUCUGGGCCCAGGGACCACUGCGGGCAUUGCUGGGCCAGCACAAGGGGGUGGAGAUGGCCAAAGACAAGAGAAGAAAGGGGGAAGCUGGGAAGCAGAUUAUCUGUGUAUUGACAGAACUGUUUAUUUGCUCCUGGCAAAAAUAAACCCCAGCGUAUAUUCCCUCUAACGUUUUCAUAUUUAUAAAAAUGGAAAGCCUAAUCUGUCACCAAGACCCAUUAUCCCCUGACCUCAGUCAGACAGUAUAUCUUAUGGAAUUAGGGAAUGUAGUAUUUUUUAUGAGGACAGAAGGGAAAAGAGAUGUUUACUAUUGUACCCUUCCUCUAUUUAUUAGUGUCUGUAACUACCACCAACAUCCAAACGAGGUAUCUUGUGUUUUAGCCCUAGCGGGACUAGACAAAUAAAUAAGUCAAUAACAUCUAUUGGAAAAUAAUUAGAUUGCCUUGUUCACCACCACCUGUGAGGGGGAGGCAUAGCUCUGUGAUGCGGUGCACAGUGUUUCUGGUUUUGAUGUGUCGUGCCGUUUAUCUUCAUGCUCCUAGGUGGGAAGCAUGCCUAUUAGCUUGGUUGUACCUGCACUAAGUUUUGAAAACAUUUCUAAUGUGUGCUUUAUGCCUUGCCUGAGCUCAAGCAUCCUUAAGUACUUCCAGUCUCCUCAUAAAUACACCUUUGUAUUCUGCCUAAUAUAUAAACAUCACGACCCAUGUCUGAGAAUGUUGGGAAUUUUAUUAGGUUCAUAAAGUUUUAGUUGCGGUCUAGCCCAAUGGGUCCAAAAUAAAUAAACACAGAGAGCAAAAUGAGUAACAAUUUCGUACCUAUUUCUUACCCUCCCCCUGGAGAGUUUCCCCAGGACCUGUGAAGUACUUGCUGCUGUGGUUUCUGUGGCUUGCUAUCAAAGUAUCUGCGAGGCAGCAAGCAGGAGGCAGUUGCAGAGGCAGAGAUGAAAGCUGGGAAAAGCAACUGAA
This is a long non-coding RNA of Cygnus olor (mute swan), 3835 nucleotides long. RefSeq lists it as uncharacterized. The transcript is spliced from 8 exons. The record is from RefSeq and is a predicted model, not a curated record. NCBI's taxonomy places the organism in Eukaryota, Metazoa, Chordata, Aves, Anseriformes, Anatidae.